UUUCUCCCACUCCCACUUUUUUCCCAUCCAACGGCUCGCUAUGCUUACAUCCAUUCACAGCCGUUAAAUCUAACACGCGUCCUCAUCAGUCUACCACCCCAUGGAUUUCGAAUAUUCCGAAAACAUCCCGUUCUCCAGUUCCAACCGCUUAUCUCGCUUUCACUUUACCGUAAAUCAAACUCUCCUUUUUAUCUUUGGAUUGCAAAAUUAAUUAAAUUACGGAUAUGUUGAGGAAAAUAUAAUGUAAGGGGACCAAAAUACCCCUGCUUUAUUUCCUUUCUUUAUAUAUUUACCAACGACGUCCGGAAACCGGCAGCCAGUUGUAUAGCAGAGAGUGAAGUAACUCAAAGUAAUGAGCGAAGCAUUGGGAAGAGACUACCAAAUCUGCGACGAGAUCGGCCGGGGACGCUUCGGAACCGUAUUCAAGUGCGAUUCCCGCUCCACUGGCGAAUCCUUCGCCGUCAAAUCCAUCGAUAAAUCCCUCACCGCCGGCGAAUCCCUGCACCCACAGGAUCCCUCACCGCCGGCGAUUCCCUGGACGCCCAGUGCCUCUUGACGGAGCCCAAGAUUCUGAGCCUCCUCUCCCCUCACCCAAACCUAAUUCAGCUCCACCGCACCUACGAGGACGAUUCCCAUCUCCACAUGGUAAUGGAUCUCUGUCCCAAUUCCGAUCUCCACACCCUAAUCGUCGCCAACGGCGGCGCACUCCCGGAGGCGGAAGCCAGGUCGAUCUUCGCCCAAUUGAUGUCUGCGAUCUCGCACUGCCAUUGGAACGGCGUGGUCCACAGGGAUGUGAAGCCGGACAAUGUUCUUUUCGAUUCUUGGAAUUCCGUGAAAUUGGCCGACUUCGGUUCGGCGGAGGUGGUGGCGACGACGGAGGAGGCGGCGGUGACGGGAGUCGUCGGGACGCCGUAUUACGUGGCGCCGGAGGUUCUGUUGGGGAGGGAGUACGGUGAGAAAGUGGACGUGUGGAGCGCAGGGGUGGUUCUGUACAUAAUGCUCGCCGGUUUUCCUCCGUUUUACGGGGAGACGGCGGUGGAGAUCUUCGACGCGGUGUUGAGAGGGAAUCUGAGGUUUCCGACUAGGGUUUUCCAGUCGGUGUCUCCCGGUGCGAAGGAUCUGGUGAGGAGGAUGCUGUGUAAAGAUGUGUCGAGAAGAUUCUCUGCUGAGCAAGUGCUUAGUAAGUUUUGCAAACUCUGUUUUUGAUUCUUUAUUUUAUAUAUUCUCAAAAUCAUGUUGAGGAUGGAGUUUGAUUGAUGCGUACUAUGUGUUGGUUGUUGCAGGGCAUCCAUGGGUGAAAAGUGGUGGUGGAACCACCUGAAGGAGCUGGAUUGACUGCUUUGAUGUAGAUAAGGAUGAAUCAAACUGGAAGAGGAGCCUUUUGUGAUGUAUCUGCUAUAAGUUUGGGUUUGGUAAUUAAACAGAGAGAAGAAGCAACUUUUAUUCUGCUUUUCUCAUUUCUGGGUUUUGAUUUCGUGAGCCACUAGUAGCAGUAGUAGUAGUAAUAGAGAGAGAGAUACGGCCUGCCUCCACUGAUCACUGGUGUUGUUAUAGAGGGGGUGCAAGUGGAGAAGAAGCUGCUGCUGAUGAACUACUUUUUAGUGUAUGUACUACGAAUAUAUAAUAUGGCCCGCCUGUAUAAUACAAGUAGUAAAAUUGCAUAAAGCUUUUGUUUUUAUGAAUUUCGUCCUUCAACCCAUAUGGUGGUGAAUGAAUGCUUAUUAUUUGGGACGUUUCAUGUUAUCCAAUUCCAAUAUGUUAAUGGAAAAUUGUUUCCCAAUAUGCUUGGAUCUUCGAUUUUGCAGCUCUGCUUUGAUUCAGUUUUAGCUAUAGAUAUAACGGUUUACAGAAACCGUAUAGUUUUUGAGAUGUCGUCGGCAUUGAUUCUGUUGCCAUUUGCUGUUUUGUUCUUGUUGAUAUGGGAUAAUCUUAAACAAAUAGAAAGAAAGAAUUCAUUGUCAUCCGUUUUGGACUCAAUUGGAUUUUUGAUUGAUUGAUUUGAGUGAUAUUAUUAACAAAGAUAUCAGUGUUGAUUCUGCCGCUACUGUAACUAAUUAACCGUUUUAAAACUAAACAUGAUUGAUUGGGUUGGUUCUCAUUUUUAAAUACUAAAUAGUAAUCAAUCUUCCGUCAUAAGAAAUAUUAUAGUAAUCAACAAAAUUCACAAUCUAAAGAGUGCUUCCUUCCAACAAUCCGUAUAGACAAUCCAGAACCAUUAAUCAACUUGUUUCCCGUUGGUUGAUUUGUUCUUAAUCUUACUUUGUUGAACAAAUAGACUCGCUGAUGUUGAAUUUCCUCAACACUUUGGUCUUUGGCGCCGAGUCCUUCCAGAUCCAAACUUAUUCUUCCACCAAACCCCCAAAUGGAACUUUCUAGCGUUAACCUUAACCCACCGAAUACGAUUUAUUUUACAAGAUAUCAAUUUUAUAAUUGAAGGGUUGGAAUCUUCCACAAUGAAGAAGGUCAAGAAGACUUGCAAGAUCAGGACAUGUGGAUGAUCAGCAAAUUGAGGGACUCCAAUGGUUCAAGCCAAGCCACAGUAAACAAAUGUGAAAGACCCAAUAGAGAUGCAAAAAAUACUAUAAAACUGUGGAGCUUUGGAUGUUGCACAAGGAAGAAGAUAUUUCUUGAAAGAGCAAUUGUAUAUAUAUGGAUGGAUAUACAGAGUACUCUAGUAGAGAGUUAUUGGGUAGUUAAGUGAGACCGUGGGGGGUUGUCAUCUGCAUAAACUUAACCUACAUCACUGUUACUCUCCUCAUCUUCAGUUAUCCCCUCCACGAUAAGGUACUGAAGCAUUAUCGAGUAUUUUGCAGUCCGCCUCCUCCCUGGAUUUCUCCCGCUCGUUGACACUCCACUGCUUGUAAGAAGAAACGAUCCUUUGCCGUCAGCUUCAAGAGGACAAACACCCACAUCAUCAGCUUUUAUAUAGCAUACACAUUUUAUGAUUAAUCAAGCGAGGAACAAAAAGACUAUACCUUUAACGGUUAAGAAACAUGAUAUCCAACGUUUGUAGAUGAAGAGCAAUCUUGGAGAUUCUCCAUGGUGCGUAUCAGAGAGCAAAAACUCACAUUUCCCCUUCUCACUAUCAUCCAUCCCAUUCAUAAAAAUCCAAGUUAGUAAACAACAUAUAUACCUAGACAUUCAAGAAGAGUAUCUAUCCAACAGCUGCAAACUUCACUAACUUAGCAUGUCCUACUGCGUUGUGGCACAGAGCCAAUAUCCGAACCAUUUCCAAGUCUCUUCCCCGAGGAUUGUUGUAUCUCUCUUUGCAAACCCUUUCAGAAGAACAACAACUCAAGCAAUCGUUAGUUGCUUGAGGAAAACAGGGAUUCAAGCAGGGAGGAAAAAUUACUGUGAUUUGUUUUCACCUUUCAUCAAAGAAACCUCCAAAGUCAUCAAUAACGACAGCAGCAGGAAAUGUGUCGAGCAGGUGGAAUGCAGCCAUGUACUUCUUAAUUCCUUGAUCAUCUUCCACAUACCUUUUUGGCGGAGGAAUACAUUAAGACAAAAACAAACAGCAAAGACUAUGUUAAAAGAGUGAACGGUGCUUACUUACUUCAUUUGAAUUCGUUCAAAUACAUCGGAAGAAGGAUCCACGCCCUACGAAUUUCAAAAUUAUCAUGAACAGAUGAGAAACACAGCCCACUAAUAGUAGUAAACCAUAAAUUGGUUAUGAAAAUGGGGGGAAGAUGAAAGUACUUGAGAUAGAUAAGGAGGGUUGGCUUCCAUACGGUGGCGGCUGCAAAUGAAGACCACUUUGCGGUUUCUAUUCAAGGCGGUGUUGAUUGCAUACUGGAAGAGUAGAGAUGUUUUCCCGCUGCCAUUGAUUCUCUGGUGAAUUUCUUUCUCUACUGGGAAUUAGGAAAAAACAGAAGCAGAGAGAGGGGUGUAUGGGAAAUGCUUACGAGGUUGGAGGCCCAGAAAGAAGAGUAAUCGGAUUGCUGCUGCAAUGUCUUCCUGUUUCCACUGGCUUUCCACCGGGAAGGAACAUCUCCAUCUUUUCCGUAAGGGAUCGGAGUUCACCCAGUCGGUUUUAGGUUGAAGAUGACAGCAAGAUGUAAGGAAAUAACUGUUCAAGUUGCAAACAACCAAUUUCCCAGUUACUAGCCGUUUAAAUGGGUUGGGCUAAUUUAGAGUAUUGGGCUUAUUUGAGUGCUACCUUCAUACUGUCCUGAUUGAGAUUCAACUUCAGCCCACAGCCACAUCUCAACUGUUGAGGUUUGAUUAUUUCUGUAAUCAAUUGCUUGCUUAUCGUGUUUUAUUAUUUUGUUUUACCAUCUUUUCCAAAGAAAUAAGUAUCCCAUAGCCAUUAAGAAUAGGGCUUUAAAUUGGUGGGUAGUUAAUCCUAUCACAAUUUGCGGUUUAUGACUAAUAAUGGCGGAAAUUUAAGAUUAAGACAUACAUUAAGUCGAAUUUAAAUCCAAAUUUAUGUAUUAAGUAAUUAAUUUAUGAACAUAUAUUUUUUAUCAUAAAGUUAAAAUAUUAAAAAACACAUUCACUAAGUUAUUUUUAGUUAAAACAAGUUAUUUUAAAAGAUCGAUUUGCCACCGGCAAUUUUUUCCCUAAUUAAGUAAUAGUAAAUGCAAGUACUCAGCCAAAGUGAUGAUGAAUAUGUAUCGAUUACUAAAUCGAAAUAACAAAACAUUAAGUCGGACUAAAAUUGUCCUGAGCCGAACUCAAAAAAAUUGUAAAUAUAUAACAUAAAUUUACAAAUUACGGCUGGAAUUGCUCUCAACCGUAACUUCCCGGGCUCCCCUUUCUAUCCGCCCAUGAUGACUAACAACUAACCGCACCUCCAGUUUGCAAUAGCUACUUUUUUCGUAACGAGAAAAAAAUAACACGGAAUAUGAAUUACAAAAUAAUAAAAUACAGAAUCUUAGCAACUUCAUAAAUUUUAACAUGACACACAUAGAAGAUAAAGAAUGCACCUUCACAAUCCAAUCCAAAUCAAAAACUUCCACAAAGAUUCAACUUCACAAACAAAGAAGACAACCACUAUCAAAGAUUCUAUUUCGGCUACGUACACAUCAUCAUUAUUAUUAUCUGGUAAUUCUUUUGAAAUACGUUUGAAAAUAUGAACUAGUCACGGGAAUGAACCCGAGAGGCAAGUUGAUUGAGUGAGUCACUACUCUUGUUCAGGAAUCACAGCCCCGCCUUUGGCCGCUGCUUCCUCGGAGCUCUCCUCCUCGUCAUUUUCUCCGGUCAAAGCCUCCAACGACUUACCAUUCGGUUCCGGCACCAACAACGUAAACACCAUCCCGAGGAAAUUAAUACACCCCAACGCUAUCAACGAAUUCUUCACCCCAAUCCCUGGGCUAUACCCCUUAUCCACCUUCGUCGGAUCCUGCGACUGAGCCGCGUACAAAAACCCAAACGCACCCACUAUCGCCCCUGCCUUCCCCGCCGCCGCCGAUAUCCCGUGGCAAGUCGACCUCAAUCUCGCCGGGAAUAUCUCCGCCGGCACCACAAACGUCGUCGCAUUCGGCCCGAAAUUCGCGAAGAAGAAAGUCAACGAGUACAUCACCACAAACCCGAGCCGGUUGGGCUUCAAAGUCCAGUGGUGGUACGGAAUCGCCAGGGCGAACAUGAACACCGUCAUGAAGAAGAACCCCAUCAUCUGAAUCGCGAACCUCCCAAUCACGUCGAUAAACAGCACCGUGAACCAGUACCCUGGAACCGUACUGCACAGCGCUAUCAAAGUCUGGGCCCUAGCAAUCCGAUAGACCUCGUGAAUUGCGUUCAUGGUGUUUGCCGGCGGGAUCCAAUUGAUGGCGGUGAAGAUAUCCUUCUGGAAUAGGUUCUGGCUGUAGAAGGCGAUGUCGAGCAAGAACCACGUGGAUGUAGUCCCCAAUAGGUGGAGCCCAUGCCUUUUGAGGAACUCACGCGAGAAUAGCCCGAAUUUGUUAGCGGAAUUCUCGGCCAUACCUUUUACCUUCUCUUCCUCUGCUUCCAGAUCCACGUUCAGCACCUUCGACAUGUCCUGCGCGGCCUGUUUGGCGUUCUUCGCCACCAACGCGGUGUACCGGGCAGUCUCCGGCAUCUUCAUCCGCCAGUAGUAAGUCACGCCGGCGGGAAUUGCGCCGAACAUCAGAAUUAUCCGCCACACGUAGUCCGCCUGGGGAGCUAGGGAGGCAGCUCUGUCAGUCGCGUAGGAAGGAGCGCUGAAUCUGUGGUCGAACGCCGAGGAGACGACCAAGGCGACGAUUCCUCCGCCCAAGAUUCCGAACCCUUGCAUCGCGAACACGGCGGCGAUGAAGGCUCCCCUUGUCUUCUUGUUGGCGUACUCGGACAUGAUGGUCGCCGAGAGAGGGUAAUCGCCGCCGAUUCCGAAGCCGAGCCAGAACCGGAAGAAGCAGAGUGUGGCGAUUACCGAUGAAGGGUCGUGGCUGAAGGAGAGUCCCGAUGCUAAGGAGCAGACCACCAUGAGUAUGAGCGUGAUUCCGUACACUUUCUUGCGGCCGAGCUUGUCUCCCAGCCAGCCGAAGAAGAGCUGGCCGGCUAAGGUGCCGCAGAGUGCGACGCCGUUGACGGCUGCGGCGACGUUGGGAGGUAGAGAGCCUGGUUUGGGCAGACUAGUGUCGGUGUAGUAAAUUCGGCCGAGCAAUUUGCUGACGAGGGAGAUGCAGAAGAGGUCGUAUGCGUCGGUGAAGAAUCCCAUUCCUGCGAUGACGAUCGCGGUGAAAUGGUAGAGCUGGGUUUUAGCGACGUCGAGUGCUGUGAGCACUCCCAGUUGCUCUCUCGCCAUGACUGCCUGCAGCUAAUUAAUCAACUCCACGUACGUGCCCUCUGUUUCUUUUUUUCUCUAUAUUAACGUACAAUUGAUCAGAGAUUUGAGUAUAGUCUGUAUAAUAUCAGUAAAUGACUAUUGGAUUAAGACGUGUUCAAUAUAUAUAAAGAGAAAACUGGCAUGGAGUCAUGGUGUUGGAUACAUAGCUUGACAAAUUAAAGGAAGCAAAACAAAUGAUCUGAACUUAUAUUGUACAGUUGGCGAUGAUCAUCAACAUUCAUGACUUGUUCAGGUGUUCUUCCUUAGCUAGCUAGGUAGGCUGGCCAGCCGAACAGAAUCGACCUUGGGAUUUCCAGAUGGAAACAACCAUAGAUAUAUGGUUCCCCAGCCAUAUAGUAUACUUAGUUAGCAGCUUCAAGCGCCAUGUGUAUGCAAAUGCAUGGAUAGCAUAUAGCAUCAGAAAAGAAAAAGCAACCGCACUAGGCAAACAAAGUAAGUAUAUACUAGAAAGCGACAAAGUAGAGCUUCUUCUUUCUCAACGUACAGAUGGAGUUAAGAGAAUUACUCACCUUUAGUUACUUGGGGAUAGUUAGUGCUUCAUCCAAAUUCACAAAGGGAUCGAUGACCAGUGAGAAGAGUAGUGUGUAAUUAAGAUGUUGCUUGUUGGCAGAGUUUUAUAGAGGGAGGGACUCUCAUAUAUGGUUGCAUAAAUGGCAUCUAUUAGAGGAUAUGCUGUGUGUGUUCCCAUUGUUUCAUGUUUAAUUUAGUCCACUCUAUUAAGAGGAUAUACAUUACUGAUUACUGGCUCUUCCUCUAUAACUAUUCCUGCUUUCACAUUCCAUUUCAUCAACCUGCUGCAUACAUUACAUACGACUAAACUUAUCUAUCUGUCUUUCUAUUCUCUAAUCUACCAUUGGGAUUGCGGACUUGUUAUCUACAUUAAUUUAGAACCUAAAACAAGUUACUGAUAUACGCUGUAUAUUCUUAUUGGUCAUUCAGAAUGAAGAGUUCAAGUUUCCCCAAGCUGUGCUUCAGCUUGGUGCAACACUGCAACUGUGUCCCUUUCUGUUUAUAGGUACAUGCAAUAAUUCCAUAUUGGUGCCUGGUAAGACCAGUAUGAGCAAACUAAGCAACUGUUUAUCAGAGAGUGAAUAUAUGGAGAUUAGUUAAAACUUACGCGAUUGAGACAUGAAGCGCGUUAAUUGCUCAACAUUCAACGCUACUAUUGAGUAUUGACAGCAAAGUUAUUUGUAUUUAACUUGCUUGUCUUGUCCCUCAUGGCCAUGGAGAAAUGCAAUUAAUUUGUUUUGAUUGAUUUCCAUCGGGUACGUACACCGGAAGACAUGUAGAGGAAGAUCAUCGUCCCACUAUGCUAGAUACAAACAAACAAUUUGCAUGUUCAAUGAACGCCACUAAGAAGAUAAGAUCUGGUAUGUAUCCUCUUAUUUUUCUUUGAGCUCUAUUUUGAGAAGUCAACUAGUUGACAAAUUCCAGUACUUGGGGUAUAUGCCAUAAUAUUCCAGCAACUGGGUUGCCAACUUAUGUCAACUUAAAUUGAUUUAACGGUAACUACGUACGUAUUAAGUAGCUCAAUAUGUGAAGUCGCAACAUGCUAUAUAUGCUGGAAACUUGAGAUUUCUCUCUUGGGAAACUAUAGUUUAGGUGACAAAUUGAAUAUUAUUGUCUGUGUCCAACUGACAUGUUAUAUUUUAUAUUACACUUCAAAUUCUGAGCACAUUCCCAUCCUAAUUAUAAGGUGAUGCAGAGAGGUUUGGUGGAGACCUUACAGGGUUACGAAGGGACAACUUAAAACUUAUUUUUAUUUGGUCCUUUAUUUAUUGAGAUUCUACAUUGUUGUCCAAAGUCUUUUUUGGUCCUAUUAAAGUGUAACACAAUGUUCACUUUAUCCAUUUUCUGAUCAUUUUCUUCAAGUACUGAUAUGGUAUUUGUGAUCAAUCUCCGUCGUUUUGAGUGAAAAAAUAAUAGUAUCUGUUUUGUGAAUCGUUUAGGUUGAAUUAGAUUGCUUUAUCCGGAUCUAAUACUUGAAUUAGGUCCUUUACAAUCACAUAUGGUAAACGGUAGGAAGUUCAAUGUAUGAUGCAUGACGGCAUGAGAGUGAAUAGAAAUAUGAAAGAUGGAGGAGAGAAAAAUGUAUUGAGGUGCCUUCUGCAGUUUUGACUAACGGCCCUCUAUAGAGGUGGCAUGACAGUAUCUAUAUCGUUGUCUCUAGGUGGUGUGACCUUAUUUAGGUUGUAGAUCUCUACGAGUGCGAUUUGAACCCUCGGAUUGAGGAUCACCCGAGGUGCCUUGUGUAUUAGGGCUUGAGGAUUGCCUAAGAUGCCUUGGAUCUAACCUGCUCAAGACCCGGUCGGUCAUCAGUUAAAUAAUUUUUUUUUGGUAUGGUCAACUCUGAAGGUAUCAACCAUAAUUAUAGGUUGCUUGUUUAAACCCAAGUAUGACAAACCAAUCAGCAUUCAACCUGAUUCGUCAUUUAAGAAUAAUACAACACAUUCUUUUAUUAUUUUAUAUAGUGAACGAAAUAAAAAACUAAAAAAUUAAAUAAAACUUUUUAAAAACACCGAAGAAUUAAAAAAAAUUUGUUUGUGCAACUCCCAGUUCUCUUCAUACUGCUCAACUUGCUCGCUACACGCCUACACCAGUUGCAAUUCCAAUAACUCAUCUAUCCAUGCUUCGUCUUUUUCUUUUUGGUCCCUGGGUAAUAUAAUUAUUAUUUCAGAAGAUUUAAUUACUAUAUAGAAAUUUCUAUGUUAUUAUUAUUAUUAAUGACUGGAUAGGCCAAUUAUGACCACGUCAGCAUUUAACGAGAAAAUAGAUAAAAAAUUAUUGUGGUGCCACAUUGAUAUAAUCCCAUAGGUAAGGUAUGUAAGUGGGAAAGAAUUGGUGUGUGACUAACUACAAUGUAUAUUCAGUCAAAAGAUGGUUUCCCCCCGUUUUUUAAUUAUAAAUGUUGAUUUAGAUUGAAUAGGUGUACCAUUCAGAGGGACUGUUCUAAUUACACCUCUGCGCUAGAGAGUUUUGAUGUAACUUUUUUAAGAGAGUUUCAAUUGCCAUCCUCUACAAACAAAACAUGGCCUCUCCCAACAUCACUUCCUAUACCCCACCAACCAUGUUGUACCAUGGACUGGCUACGUUGCCUCGAUUGUCUAGAAGUUGGACCGAAGCCGGAGAAGAUCAUCCAUCACUGCCGUCGCAUCGCAUCCCACCAACGACUCACCGAUCGAUUGAAGAUCGGAAUGAAGCCCGGUGAUCGCGCCGUAGGGCGACGCCGGAGAACGCACCCAGACCUGGCCGCGGAGGAGCUGCGAUUAGCCGAAGCACCGUGGCGACGACGGUGCUCAUCCCGUCGGUGGAGGCCCUAUCUCUCGUGGAUAUUGGCAAAAGCACACAUGUCACCUAAAGAACCGGUUUGAGAGCAGUUCCAGAACUCACAGCCGGCCGGCCAAAGUCGACCGGUUAGUCUAAGUAGCUGAAAGAUCAAGAUAGUCAUAGUACUAACGAUGUGGUGAUUCCAAUAAGGACAUGUUGUCCAAUAGAUAGGUUUUACGGUUUUUGAAUUUACAUUUUUAUUUGGCUAACUUUAUGUCGUUGAUCCCUUUGUCGUUUGUCCAUGGACAGGAGAGAAAGGAUUGAGGUUCUUGUUUACAAGAACCCGCAAUCUAUACAGUUUCGUUUGUGAUGCCUGUACCCCCGGUUGGACACUUGUACGACUUUUGAUUCGUUUAAAAGAAAUGAAGUGGGGAUUUUGUCAAAAAAAAAAACAAAGUCUACCAUCGAAUAUUCAAUACUGUUAUUUUAUAAAUAAUUUUUUUUAUUAAAAAAAACCAACGAUUUUACCAAAUUGAAAAAACAAGAGUGAAGUCUCAAUCUCUUCGAGGCUUGGAGUAGCUCCCUCCCUAUAGGGUUUUGCUCAUCCCCCAUCACCUCUCCCCACCUCACGACACAUCCACCAAUCACAAUUUCAAGCUCUCAAACUUCAUCAACAACCCUAAACCUCUUUAUCGACUACUAAUAAACGCACCUUCAGGCUCGAUCCCAACCUCCACCAUGCCCCCGAAGCAGGUGAACCCGCACAGACCAAGCAAGCCGGCGGCCGACGGGUACGCAAAAAGAAGCACUCAGGAAAAUCACCAUUGGUCAAUGUACGAGUGGAACAGGCGGGUUUGCCCUUGGCCCAACAGCAUAAAUCCCUUCGGGGGUUGUGGAGACCGGAUCAUCUCCGACAACUUCCUCCCCUGCGGCUGAUCUAGCUUUUGUGUCUUCUCUCUUGUUUUUUCCGAUGAUUUUCCUUCGAACUAUGUUUAUGUGUCAGUUAAUAUUUCUAUUUGUUUGUUGGUUCCUUGAGUUUUACUGAAUGUAUCGAGAAGCGAAGUUGAUUAAUUGUAUGGUUAAUUACUUCUCUCAUUGUAAUCUUCAUAGAUUGCACCUUUCGAAUUAUCAUCCACACAAUAUUUUCAAGUUCUUAUUGGAAUAAUAUAAAGGUUGAUUAUUGUAAAAAAAAAAGAGUGAAGUCUCAAACAUUCAAAAUUCAAAUUAUUGUCUACAUAAGUAUCGAUCCACAAUGAAUUAGCAAUGCUGAAAUGAAACAUCAGACGAAAGAAGAAAACCAAAUCAUCUUCUAUUUAUUUUGUUCUAUUUGUAAUGAGAGUGGAUAUUAUUUAGUAUUUACCCAUAGUACAUGCGGCAACAAACAAUCUUUCCUAUCUUCCACCUGGUCGUUACCAUAGUUUCGUGGGAUUAAUCGACACCUUAAUUUAUUCAUUCGUUACAGCCAAAGUACCAUUCAAACAGAGGAUAAUUAUGUGAACUCUUGCAAACUCUUGCAAAAACUGAAAUAGAUUCCUCGAUUCUUUAUGCAGCAGAUUAAAACUGGGUAAAAGUUAAAACUUGCAAUUCUUGCAGAAACUGAAGAAAACAUGGUUGUACGUAUAUGAAACUAUUUGUUGUCACCUGUCAAUCUAUGGUCUAGAGAUAGUGAUGUUGUCAAUGAUCAAUCCCUGCUACGCAUGAAUGGUAAAAUAUUUGGGAUACGCGUUUUUGUGCAUCAGGGCAGUUAGCUGUCAGAAACUGGGUGAGCAAUUGAAAGGAAAGGAAACUUCGUCUCUGCAUUGAAUGAACAGAGAUGGAUCACUUCAUGUUAAAAAGAUAAAACCAAGUAACAAAAUAUAUAUAUAUUACUGAAGUUGAGCAGUACCAUUGGCCUGCAGCGGGUACUGUUCGUAAUAUGACAAAAAUGGUUUUUUUCGUAAACUUAGAGCGACAAUAAAAAUUCAGGAUAGGAAUGCAGAACAAAAUUUCCUGGGACGAUGUUGACUUGAAUUUUGGGCCUAAAUAAGUGGUGAAUUUUUCACAAGUAGUCUUGGUAGGAUGUUAUUAAGGGCCCAAAAGUGGGACUCCAUCAUUGUUAGUCCCUAUCAAUGACAAGCUUCAGGAUUAAUUGUCAAAGACAUCAUUCAUGUCUUGUCCAGUGUUGGGAUUCAAGUUUAAAUGGUUUGCCGUUCAACAAAUGAAGCUAUUAAUUUGUAGGGAACACAAAUUAAUUCUCCCUACGACGGAGCGGUUAUGCGACGUUUUUCAUCCUCCCCUUGCGUUCUCGCGUCAACCGUCGUCAACCGCCAUCAGCAACGGCCUCCGGCCAUCGGACAACCAUCAACCUUCAUCAACAGCAAUCUUCAAUCAUCGAAUUCACUACCGAUCUCCAUCGAUCCUCUGGGUAAAACCCCAUCCCUUUCCUCUUUUCCUAUCAUUGGUGCCGAGUUUCUCGAUUUCGAUUCCUUCGCAUUUCCCCUGAUUUGAUUACGACGCCAUGAUUGAUUGUUCUGGCAAAGGUCGAUCCUCUAAUCUCCUACUUCUACCUUAAAUUCGGCCGUGUAGCCUAAUUUUGCCUUUGUGGUAGAAUUCGAUCAUCCAUAGAAAGGCCUUCCACAUUCACUUUGUUGGGUUUGUUUUGGAUCCAAUUGGGGUCUCUUCGACCAUCGACAAUCUCGACUCAAGCACACGGAAUCCAUACUCAUCGGCACAACAUGUACCUUUGUUGCAUCUCAACUCGUUUCCGGCGGAAGAGGAUUCAACACGGUUCAACCCAACCAACCAACCCUUGAAGCUGAAUUAUAGGUGGAAAUGUUAGUAGAGGAAAAUGACCGAGUGGUUAAUUGACCCAUGACCAUGAUCUUAUUACAUCAACAACAACAGCAACAAGAGACCACUUUCAAAUUUAACUCAAGAUACACAAAUUUUGAACAGGGUACAUGGAAAGUUGUGACUGUACAUAACACUAGUUAUCAAACUGAAUUGGCCGACAAUAAUUGUUCCUUCUCUCACCUCAAACUGUCAAAUAGAUUACAAACCAUCCACCUUGGAAGCUGACUCCUUCCCCACAAUCCCCUCAAUGGAAUCAAACUCUGUCCCCUUAGCUAUAUCUCAGAAACGACUGCCAAAUAGACACUUUUCAUUGAGAACAAUAAGAACACAAAAGCAAGACAACACAAUGUAACAACGUGCUGAACUGCUGCUACCUUGAUUUUAGCAUUACUUGUGGUUGUUUUAGUCGAACCGAUACUCGGAAACCCAAACCUUGCUGGUUUCUUCUCCAAUGGCCUCAGUAUCUGAAAUGAACACAACAAGUCCCCAUCCACACUCAUCAUUGCACCGGCAUUGUCAAACUCCCCACAGUAAUUUGGUGCUGAGAAUAUUGUCACUAGUUGCUUAUUAGCAAAGAACUCAUAUCCAUCCUCCAUAACCUGCAACCAACAAAAAUGCCACAUUAUUAUAACAAUCAUAUAUGUACGUAACUUCAGCAUCCAUAUAAUACGUAGUUAUCUACUCCUCCCAACCUGAUGUGCCCUGCAGAUUAGAUCAAGAUCAAGCUUGCGAAGAAACUCAGUGACUCGAUCAGCUCCAAACGUAUACGAAACACCUCUCUCGUUCGGCCCCCACCCUCGAAUGUCCUUGGAAGGAUCAGACCAUAGAAGAUCACACAACAAUCCACUGUCAGGGAUGGAAGUUGGCCGCGGUAGGUUCCUGAUUUGGUCCAAGCUAUGGAGAUCAGGAGACAACCCACCGUGCAUACAUAGAAUCUUUUCAUCAAUGAGAGCCGCCACGGGGAGGCAAUUAAAGCUGUCUGUGAAGAGCUUCCACAGCCUGACACUGUACCUGCGUUUACACUCGUCGUAGAAGCCGUAUAUCCUGUUGAGAGAGGCACAUUCAUGGUUGCCUCUCAGUAGGAAGAAGUUCUCAGGGUACUUGAUCUUGUAAGCCAAGAGAAGACAAAUGGUCUCAAGGCUUUGUUUCCCUCUGUCCACAUAGUCUCCCAAGAACAAGUAAUUCGCUCUUGGUGGGAACCCUACACUCUCAAAUAUCCUUAGCAGGUCACUGUACUGUCCAUGGAUGUCUCCUGUUUAAGUUUCAAGUUCAUUGUAGGCAGCAUCAGAGAAAAACCCUCAAGAAAAGUAGUGAACUUUUUACUCAUGGUUGGUAAAUUGAGCAAAUUUGCUGAGUCGAAAUACUGUUACAUAAGCAAAUCGGCAAAUACAACUUGUAAUUUCCAGCACAAUCAUAAUAAGUUAACUAUUGUGCAAUCACUCUCAUACGCGUAUAUAACAAGUUAUACACCAUUACCCUAAACAGAAUCAAACAACAGUAGAAAGAAAUCCAUGACUGAAAAAAAGGAAACAAAUUUCUGAAAAGAAUGAUACGUAACUCUGCAAUCAGGGAGAGCAAAAAUGAGAAUAGAGGUGAAGGAUGAUUAUUGAUUACCACAGAUGUUGAUAGGAGCUUCAAUCUCCAAGAGAUUAGGCUGGUUCAGUAAAACCUGGCGGGAGGAGACACAAAGCUGGACGAUUUCGCUCUCGGAGAGCUGAACCAGCUUUCCGGGCUUUCCCCUGACUUCAAGCAAUCGGCUGAUGAUACUGUCAAGAACCCAGCGUUCUAUCAUCUUCAAAGUUGCAGACUUUUGAUUAAUUUGUUGUCAGGCAGCCCUCAGAGAUGGACAAAGAUCAUAGAUGAAGAAGAAGAUGGGAGAGAUGGUUUCUUAAUAAUGGGGAGCAUGUAGUGUAUGUGUAUAACUUUGGGGAAAGAAGGGUUAUUGGGUUUUGUGUUGAGUGACUUUGAUGUGGAGGAAGGAAUGAGAUGACGAAUGGUUGUGGAGAAAAGGGCAAAUACACAAAAUUAAAGGCAAUUUGAGAGGAGGAUAUAUUCUAUUCUCUGAUUCUCUCCUCUUGGUGUUUGUUCCUUUUAGGGGUUUAUUUCAAGAAACGAGUUUACUUUAUCAAGUUGAAUAUUAUUGGCCUUUUUCUUGGUAAUGGUUGGUUUCAUUUCACGGUGGAGCCAAAAACAAAAUUCAAUAAAAAGCACAAGGUGAAAUAUGCUUUGAUUUUGGAAUAAAGAAGACGAAUUUAGAAUAACACGGAAACCAAUAGGUGAAGUGUACUUAGCACUCAUUUUGCACAUUUAAUAGUAUUAGUUCGAUUUCGAAUGCCCCAAUGGACAAACUGUCUAUAGGCCCCGGCUUCGUUCCACCGGGUUUAGGCCUGACAUGAUGGUAAUAGCCUGGCAUGAUGGUAGUAGCUACGUAGUUCAAAGUCCAUCAACUGGGGUCUAGGCCAGAUUUUUAAUAUUUUAUCGACUCAUAUUUUACUAUCAAUUUUAAUGUCAUAAAAAUAUGUCUGAUGAAAUGUCAUGACAAAAAUGAUUCCAAAAUACUAGCUAAAUGUGUCAUUGUCGUCAACCAACAGAAGGAAUUUCAACUAGAUGUGGAAUUGCAUGGGGACGAUCGUUCUGCAGAUAAACAGAACUUCAAACGGCCGGUACAACCGGGAUGACUGAGCUGGCAAGAGAGAAAAACAAAUACUAUUUCUAGAGUUUAAACCGAAAUAAAACUAAAAAAAGAAAAACAAACUGAAAGCAAACGAGUCUAACGAAUGAGAAAAAUAAAAAAAGAACUAAACGCCUAACAAAUUUGGAUGUGAUAUCCGUAUUGAGCCCGCUAAGAGAGGCUAGGGUUCUUAGCGGUCUUGAGUUCUUGGAUCAGUCGGUGUGUCCGAAACCGAGCUGCAACUCGGUCGAACCGGUUCCUAGUUGCUUCUUCCUCUGUUUUUACUAUUAUUUUAUUAUUGGUUAAUUUUCUUAAUUAAAAUUUUUACUUAAUUUACGAAUGAUGAUGUGGCUACAUUUGACAUGUUAGCUGAUACGUUAUUUUAGUGGUCUCAGUUUCAGUUAAUUUGGACGGAAAAUUUAGUGAAAUUUUGUUAAAAGGCAGGACCGAGAUUUAAAAUGAUUCAAACUAAAUUUGAAAAUCCGCUUUAAAUUUGGGAUAGAUUUGGGUAUUCGGCUAAUAAAAAGUUUGGCGAUUCGAUAGAUUUAAGCAUAUCCCUAUACGUUGAAUUUGAAUUAUUUUCUAUUAAAAUGCAAAACUGGUGUUUGCUUGGUUGAACAAGUAUCGUAUCAAAGGUUCGUAGACAUGGUGACACUUAUUGAAGCCUGGCACGUCGGUCGAAUAUUACCCGCCCAAAAUAGGUGAGACAACAUAUUUUUAAGUAGGAAUUAAAAUUUCUUUUUUAAAGAGAGGAAACAGAAAAUAAACCUUUUAAAACAUAAAUAGAAAAAUUUGCAUUCCUCGUAGUAUACGGAUUGAGAUUUUCACGGGUUUCCAUUGCCUCUUGAUCGGCAAUCGAGUGGCACAAAACACCUAAUCUCCCUUCCAUAAUCCUCCCUAUAUAAACAACCUUGGGAUUGCACUAAAUCCUCCACCCAACCCAAACACCAAAGCCAUAGAGAGAGGGAGAGAGCCAGGGGGGGAAAGCCAUGGCUCUACAAAUUGUAGUGAUGAUGUUUCUGCUGGCAGCUGAGAUCUCUGAGUUAGGGAUGAUAUCAGCUGAUCCAAUUCCAAGUGUUGACCCUUGCUCAACAUCACACUACGUAUACAAACCUUCUAAAGAGCUUCCCCAUGGCCGUUAUAGUUUCCCUCCUGGCUUUAUCUUUGGCACUGCCACUUCUUCUUUUCAGGUUAGUUAAUUACUUCUUCACUCUAUUUAAUCGAUAUGCAUCCAUAGCGAGCGAGGUGGUAGGUCUGCUGGAUUUCGGCUUGGAGAUCCCAGCUUCGGAGUCCGGAGAGUGCACUUCUCACAACCCUAUUAUAGCGAUGUCCUCUGAUUUGCUUAAAUAAAUGCUCGUGCUUAAGAUCGAUAAUCCUGAAACUUAUCUGACUGUUCGUCAUAAAAAACAAUGCAUAUAUCAUAUAUAAGUGCUAGCUAUGUAUUAUUUUUCCUAUUUCUUACUUAUUAUGGUGGUAAUGAAGAUUGAGGGAGCUUCAGAUUUUUCGUAUGGGAAAGGUCCGAGCAUUUGGGACAGAUUUACCCAUCAGUAUCCAGGUUUGUGCCAAUUUAGGACUUUAAUUUGAUCAAUUUUUGAACAAAAAACCGAUUCCACCCAAUUUUGUAGCUAAUACAUUAUGCUACAAUGUUGAUUCAUUUGUUGCAGAAAGGAUUUUAGAAGGUGGUAAUGGUGAUGUAGCAAUAGAUCAUUAUCACAAAUUCAAGGUAUAUGAAAAUAUACGUAAAAGUUUCUUGUCUCACCGCGAGAUAAUAUUGGGUGUCUCACUACAAUAAAUUAUAAUAAAAAAGUGAGACCAAAAACGUUUGGUGCGUUAUAAUUAUAAAGGGUAUCAUUGUUUUAUUAUAAUGAAGCACCCAAUUUUAUCUUUUUUUUCAUAAAUCAAUUAACCACUUUCUCUUAUAUAUUAAUAUAGGAAUGAUCAUAUGACUAAUUAGUUAUUUUUUAAUAAAAAAAACAGGAAGAUAUUAUGAAAAUGAAGUAUCUCAAUGUUGAUGCGUACAGAUUCUCUAUCUCAUGGCCACGAAUUAUACCAUGUAAGGAUGAUUGCUUUUCUUGUUUGUUCUUAUUUUGAGUAAAUAUUGCUACUCUUUGUUCAUCUAAAACAAAAUAAAUUAUUUUAUAAUAACAAAACUCCAUGUCCUAUAUUUUACUUGUGUAGUUAAGUACUUAUUCUCAAAAUUGUGUAUGCAGCUGGCAAGAGAAGUGACGGAGUUAAUCAAGAAGGAAUCAAAUUUUACCACGACCUCCUCGAUGAACUCAUUGAAAAUGGUAUAUAAUCUCGUUUUAUUAAAUUAGUAUCAAUGGUAUAUCUCCAUUUAUAAAAUCUCGUUAAUGCUAGUUAUAUUGUGUACGUAGGGAUCGAGCCUUUUGUCACAAUAUGGCAUUGGGAUACCCCUCAGGCUCUUGAAGCUGAGUAUGGUGGCUUUCUAAGCCGAGAUAUUAUGUAAGUUGCAUGUAUUUCUCCAAAUUAGUCGACUUCAGUUGAGUCUGUAUGGUUACUUAAUUCAUACAUCUUGAUCUUGUCUCGCUACGCAGAAAGGAUUUUGAGGAUUACUGUGACGUCUUGUUUCAAGAAUAUGGCUCAAAAGUAAAGAAAUGGAUAACUUUGAAUGAACCUAUGGGUAACGCAAUGAAAGCCUACGAUGAAGGGGUUUUCGCACCCGGACAUUGUUCUGUAUGGGUUGAUAGAGCAUGUAAACUUGGAGACUCUUCAACUGAACCUUAUAUUGUUUCCCAUCAUCAACUUCUUGCUCAUUCCGCUGCUUACCACUUAUACAAAAACAAAUAUCAGGUUUGUUGCAUUUUCCACUAGAUAUAUAGUUGCAGGCUAGUCAUGGUGCGAACCUAUACUUGUAUUUUUUUACUGUAUUAAUUUAUUCAUUUUUUUAUGGAAUAGAAUCUUACUGGAGAAAUAGGAAUAACCUAUGUCUCACAUUGGUUUCUUCCUUACUCUAAUACAACUGAAGAUAUUGAUGCUGCUCACAGAGCUCAGGAUUGGAUGUAUGGCUGGUGAGUAGCAUUUCUAUUAUCUCUCUAAAAACUAAUUUUUCAUUUAAACUAUUAGCUAAAAACUAAAUUGAUUAUUUCGGAUGUAGGUACAUGGAUCCAAUCACCUAUGGUUAUUACCCUAGAACAAUGGUGGAUUUAUUGGGAUCUCGUUUGCCCAAAUUUACACUAGAAGAAUCACGCUUGCUUAGAAAGUCAUACGACUUUUUAGGCAUCAAUUAUUACACUAGUUAUUUUGUGAAGAACAAUGAUAAAUUUGAUAAUGCUCAUCUUCGAUAUGCAACUGAUCACCACGGCAUUACUACACGUAUUAUAUUCAAUAUCUCAAUUAACUAGUUUCAUUAAUUUCAAAUAUGAGGCAAAGAAAUUGUCUAAUACGAAUUUUUUUUUAUUUUUUGUUUUCCCAUCAGCUGAUAGAGACGGAGUGUACAUUGGACCACAUGUAUGUGAUAACCUUGCUCAAAUAAUAUAUUAGUUACUUGUUAAUAAUAUGAAAUUAUAAUAUUGUAAUACAAACAAUUUAACUUUUGUUAACAUGCAGUUGGGUUCAUACUGGCAAUAUUUAUAUCCAGAUGGUUUACGAGCAUUGCUGAAGUACACUAAAGAAAAAUAUGAUAAUCCUGUCAUUUACAUAACUGAAAAUGGUACUUAAUUAUACUAAUCAAUCAUGUAAUGACGCAAAUAAAAUUCUUACUUAUUAAAGUUGAAUUAACUAUUUAACUAUGUAUGGUAUAAUUGAUGAUCAGGAUUAUCGGAGAAGGACAACGCUACACAGACACUUGAAGAGGCACUACAGGACAAGAUGAGGAUUGAUUUUUACAACAGCCAUCUUACAAGUGUUCUGCAAGCCAUCAAGUCAGUACAAAUAUAAUAAUAUUACGCAUGCUUUCCACGCACAGUUUAUUAUUCAUGUAACAAGAAACUCUGCAACCGAGCCUUACAUUGUUUCCCAUCAUCAACUUCUUGCUCAUUCCGCUGCUUACCACUUAUACAAAAACAAAUAUCAGGUUUGUUGCAUUUUCCACUAGAUAUAUAGUUGCAGGCUAGUCAUGGUGCGAACCUAUACUUGUAUUUUUUUACUGUAUUAAUUUAUUCAUUUUUUUAUGGAAUAGAAUCUUACUGGAGAAAUAGGAAUAACCUAUGUCUCACAUUGGUUUCUUCCUUACUCUAAUACAACUGAAGAUAUUGAUGCUGCUCACAGAGCUCAGGAUUGGAUGUAUGGCUGGUGAGUAGCAUUUCUAUUAUCUCUCUAAAAACUAAUUUUUCAUUUAAACUAUUAGCUAAAAACUAAAUUGAUUAUUUCGGAUGUAGGUACAUGGAUCCAAUCACCUAUGGUUAUUACCCUAGAACAAUGGUGGAUUUAUUGGGAUCUCGUUUGCCCAAAUUUACACUAGAAGAAUCACGCUUGCUUAGAAAGUCAUACGACUUUUUAGGCAUCAAUUAUUACACUAGUUAUUUUGUGAAGAACAAUGAUAAAUUUGAUAAUGCUCAUCUUCGAUAUGCAACUGAUCACCACGGCAUUACUACACGUAUUAUAUUCAAUAUCUCAAUUAACUAGUUUCAUUAAUUUCAAAUAUGAGGCAAAGAAAUUGUCUAAUACGAAUUUUUUUUUAUUUUUUGUUUUCCCAUCAGCUGAUAGAGACGGAGUGUACAUUGGACCACAUGUAUGUGAUAACCUUGCUCAAAUAAUAUAUUAGUUACUUGUUAAUAAUAUGAAAUUAUAAUAUUGUAAUACAAACAAUUUAACUUUUGUUAACAUGCAGUUGGGUUCAUACUGGCAAUAUUUAUAUCCAGAUGGUUUACGAGCAUUGCUGAAGUACACUAAAGAAAAAUAUGAUAAUCCUGUCAUUUACAUAACUGAAAAUGGUACUUAAUUAUACUAAUCAAUCAUGUAAUGACGCAAAUAAAAUUCUUACUUAUUAAAGUUGAAUUAACUAUUUAACUAUGUAUGGUAUAAUUGAUGAUCAGGAUUAUCGGAGAAGGACAACGCUACACAGACACUUGAAGAGGCACUACAGGACAAGAUGAGGAUUGAUUUUUACAACAGCCAUCUUACAAGUGUUCUGCAAGCCAUCAAGUCAGUACAAAUAUAAUAAUAUUACGCAUGCUUUCCACGCACAGUUUAUUAUUCAUGUAACAAGAAUUGUCGGAUUAUGCAUGCAGUGAAACACAGGUAAACGUAAAAGGGUUCUUUGCGUGGUCAUUCGCAGACAACUUCGAAUGGAACGAAGGGUACACAGUUAGGUUUGGGUUGUACUACGUUAACUACACCGAUCUCUCCAGACACCCAAAGGACUCAGCAUGCUGGUACACUAACUUCUGCAACAAGACCCAGCCGAAGACGAAGUACUUCUCUAACAAAUUUGAUCUUGAUCAGCUCAUCACCACACGUGCCGCUCCCGAAGGCCUCUCUCCUCUGCGGACCGUCUUUAAUAGUGUCAAUCAUCAAUCUUAAUUCUCAAGACCGAUGAUCUCUUACGUACAUAUUGUUACGUGCAUAUUGCAAGACAAAUGAGAGUACGUAACUAUUGUUACGAGAGAGACGAAAGGUGGCUUAUAUAUCAGUCUACAUUGAGCUGCGUUGUUUGCAAUUAGUAGUGGGAAUGAGAUCAUAUUGUAUUCUUGGGUUAUUCCCUUACGCGGUUUGCUUGCAUAGCUCAUUGUUGUUUGAUUUCUGGGUUGUAGGCUGAUAAGUAAUUAAGAACGAUGAUAUUUCCGCUACUGAACCGGUUGACGAUCUUGUGUUUUUCUUAUUUUAACUAAUGAUGCUUUGAGAUACUGCAGGUCCAUGUCAUCUUUCUAUGACCAUUUCGGUUCGUUUAGUGCUCGUCCCGAGUUUAGAUAAACCAGAAAGGUUCCAUCUUUGUGUAAUAGAACCUGCAAUAUAUUUCAUUCGAUGGGCAAGAAAGGAAAUAAUCAACUUUCUAGAUGGAUUCAAUUGACUCGUUUCGAAAGGAAUAGCACUGAGUAAACCAUUAUGGUUAUAUGGUUUAACCCAAUGAUCAUAUAAUUUUUUUUACAGCUAAAGGAUAAUACGAUUAACAAUAAAAAAGAUCUGGAAGUGGAGUUCCGUUGUUGACAUCGUUGGAACUCCACUUCCCAUGAAGGCAGUUACUAUUAAUAAUUUAAAAAUAAAAUAAAAAUUAAUUUUAUAUAGAGACUUAUGUUAUUUUUUAAUUUUACCAUUAGUCUUAUACUUUAAUUGAUUGAUCCCAGCCAUAUUAGACAUUCAUGAGACCUGGACCGAUGCACUCAUUCACAGUCAUUUAAAAAAAGUGUUCUCAAUUUCUAGUCAUCAUUACAGGGUUAAUUUCAUCAAUGAUACCAUAGGCGAGGACGAACAUUAGGGGGUUGAUUACAUUUUUGGUACCUUACUUAUUAAUAAGGUGUAUUUUGAUACUUUAUCUUUUGUUUAUAAUCAAAUGAUACUUUAUCUAUUAAAUUGUAACUAUGUGGUAUCUUCAUCCAUUAUUUCUUUAUCAAAAAACAUUCCAUCCAUUUUUUUCGUUAACUGUUGACGUGGAAGCCCAAUCACUUACCCGGUCAGCAAAUAUAAUAAAAAUUUGUAAUUUAUAUAGUAAUUACAUUUUUAACAAAAUAUAUGAUUUAAUGAAUUAUUUAGUUAAUAAAGGAGGCAGAGGCGAAGCUCGUGUUAGGUGAUGGUGACAAAAGGGGAGAUUGUGUUAGGUGAUGGUGGCGAAGGCGUAGAUCGUGAUAUGUGACGGCGGCGGAGGCAGACCUUGUGUUAGGUGAUGGCGUCGGAGGCAAGGUUCGUGUUAGAUGACGGCGACAGAGGCGACUGUUGUCGGGAUGUACCAGAAAAGAUGAAUGUGGCAUGGCGGGAGAAGGUGAAUGGUACGGAAAAAAGGAUUUUUAGGAAAAACUAAUAUAUUAACUAAAUAAAAAAUAUAUUUUUUUAAAAACUAAUUACUAUAUAAAUUACGAGUAUUUUUUAUUAUAUUUGUUGACUGGGAUGGGUGAUUGGACUUCCACAUCAAUAAUUUAUCGAACAAUGGAUAAAAAUUGAAUGGAGGUACCACAUAGUUACAAUUUAAUAAGUAUUAGGUUACAAAUAAAAGAUAAAGUACCAAAAUGUAUCUUUUUAAUAACUAAGGUACAAAUAUACAUUUUUGAUAGGUAACCGCUACUAUUUAUAAAAGGUAAAAUCCCCUCAGCUAUCAUAAAUUAUUUGAAAAAUAUAUUUUUAGCAUCGUACGUCGGAAACAGAGAAAUCAACAACUGACGAUGAGCUUGUGAGAGAGGAGAUCGACGUCGGAGCUAUGGAUGAGAUCGAGGAAGUGCUGGGUACGCCAUGGUGAGAGUUCUCUGUUGUGUUUUUUUUCUUGAGAUCAAAACUUUUUGAUCAAGGUGUUUUGGGGGACGAGGUGCAAAAAGAGUGGGAUUUGCAUAAUUCGUCCCGUUUAAAAGGGAAUGGGAAUGUCCAUUUUGGAUAGAAUUUGGGCUAAUUAAAAUUUUAAAAGUUUACGAUUUUGGAGUGAAAUUUCCAUACCGAAAACACGGAUUUGGUCCCAUCCAUGGGAAUUGAUCAGAUCCUGAGCCCAAAUUCAAUACAAAAAACGAUUGCUUAGUUAUCAUUAAUCUUUAUAAUUUUCGGUAAUCUCAAUUCUCGCGUCCAAACGGUCUCAUUAUCGUACCCCAGAUAUUAAUAACUCUCAUAGUACAAUAACUAAUGUGGAUUUACUUAAGACGAGAAUAGUCUAACACAGUGGCCCCUCCUAGUUUGAACAAAGUGGUAGAUUGGCAACAAAUUUUCAAACUUGCCGACUCAACUUGUUCCAUACGUACGUAGUACACCCACCAUGCAUUUAUAAUCCAAAGCCCCAUCAGACCAGAGAUCAAUUGUUAACGUGAAUAUAUCAGUAGCCACUGGCCACAUAUUUGGAUCUAAGACUCACCAUAUAUAAAAAGGAGGCACCCAUUCUUCUAAUUACACCAUUCAAGUAAGCUGCAGCCCUCAAACCAACACAAGACAAAAAAAACAUGGCGCUCAUGAUCACAAACUUGGCAGUUCUGUUCCUCGGAGCUUUACUAGCCAUAAGUACUAGUGCCACUCUUUCUAUGGGUGAUGAUGAUAAUGGCUAUGAGAGCCGUCUAGCCAUGAGGAAGGCGCCAAUACCAUCACCAAUUGUGCCUUAUUAUCCUACACCUCCAAGGAAAGUCGGGCCGCCGUUGCCGCCGAAGACGAAGGGGAAGCCUCACCAUAGCCAAUCUCCAAUUGUUCCCUACUUCCCCUUCUAUUACAUCCCAGCACCAUCACCGCUGCCUAAUAAUUAACUAAACAAGGAGGUGAGCCACCUGUUCAUGUACGUAGAACAUUUCCAAGGGAUGAAUAAAAUAAUAGUUUCAUAAGCCAUAUUUCCCGACUCGUCAUAUAUGAAUACAAGGAUGAAUUAGGUUCAGAUUAUUGUUUAAAAAGUUGUGUCUUAUAUAUAUAUUCUCGUGCAACUUUGCAAGUUAUUACUACAGUUUGAUCCUCUCUGUCCUAGCAGGUACGUUUUUCUGGACAACUAAGUGUUGAAUGCUGAUGAUUGAUGCAAUCAGUUAUGCAGUGUCUAAUUCCUUGUGCGCGGUUAUAUCAGUGUAGUUAGUAAAAUACGAUAUUGGUAUAAUACGAUAAUUAUACAUACAUGUAUAAUAUAACAAUUUUUUAGCAAUAGUACAAUAAAAAAGUCGGCGAUUAAAACGGCUAAUUGAAUUAGACGGAAAUAAGAAUUAUAUAUGCAUAAUACUUAUUUUAAUUUAAUAAACGUCAUUAAAAAUACGGAUAUAUCUUAUAAAAAAUUAUUAAAAAGUUGAUAGGACUUUGACAUAAAUAAAAUAUGAGUGAACUGAAAAGGGAAUCAAACUUUCAUAUUUUAUUUCAUAUAUACGGCUCAUGCGUCUUUAUACGCGCACUAAAUGGAUUCCAUUAUUUAAACGCGUAUUAGACGGCGGACAAACACAAAAAACGGGAAACGGAGUAAAAAACAGGGAUACGAAUUGUACGCGAAUAAGAUAGCGUUUUUUCCGUAUAAACUAACUAGACCGGACGUAGUCCGUAUUUUAUUUGGAGGUGAUGUCGAAUUCCCGACGAAGAUGAAGAACUAAGAUUGAGUAUCUCUUCGAGUAAGUUUUUUAUAUUUAAAUAAAUGUAAAGAUAAUUUUGUAACUUUUUAAAAUCUAAGGAGAUUAAUUUAACGUACGACGUCGAAUAACAAUAAGGGUAAACUCAAAUCCGGACCCAAAGCAAUCGCCACAUAUUUCGAAACCCCAAUCUCAGACAUUCUAUCUAGUUUUGACUCCUUUGACUAAUGUAAUAUUGUAGAUUGGAGUAGGUAGUCCAGCCAUUAUAUUAUUAUCAUUUUUCCUAAAAACAUCAAGCAACCACAACCUCCGACGAGGGUCCGCCGAUGGCGCAGCUCUCCAGAGGGUUUCUAGUGACUUUUUUGGCGAGUUUUCGCUAACUUUUUCAUAAGGUUUUUGUAAUAUAUUACAAUCGUUUGUAUCAAAUUACACGAAUAACAAGUUAGAAACGACUAAAAUCAGUUACAGACGAGUAUAACAUGUUAGUUGUGUAACACAGGGUAUACACAGAAUAGGUUUAAUAUUUUGCAACUGAUUAUCACCAUAUGUAACACGAUAUAAUCGCAUAUAACUAAUUACACGAAUACUAAUUAUAAUCGUCAAUAACUAGUUAUAAUCACCGACAAAAUACCAUUUGGAUCCGACCACCUUUGCCUAGUGGAUCUUGGCAGCUUACCUAGGACCUGGCUAUGCCCCUCGCCAUAAGACUCCCUUCUCACGGUAAGAAUGUUUGGGAGUCAUAAUUAUCAGCAAAUAACCAAACCAAUUACCACCACGUUACAAUGUCGGCAUGCAUUGCAAUUUGCAAGAUGUUGAUUGAUUUAGCUUAACUGUAAAAGACAGCGCAGCAUUAAUUAUCAUUCACGACUUAAUGAGCCCAACUCCAUUUCUUAGAGGGCAACAAAGCCAAGUCUCUUAUCUGCACCAAAUUUCCCAACUUUCCAACUAAUGGAGCAUUGAUUCCUCAACCAAUUCCAAUUUAACUCCCCACAGCGCAGCAUUACUAUAAAAAUAGGCAACGCUAUCUCUCCUUUCCAAACCACACUCCUACCGAAAGCAUAUCAGUCUAAUUAGCCUAAAAUGGAACUCAGCCACUUCCUACUUGUGCUUAUUGUGGCUCUAGCGGCUGCUAUAUCACUGACCACCGUUCCUUCCGAGGCUGCUGAGUUCGUCGAAGAGAAGCCCUUUUUCAAGAAGAAGCUGCCCAAGUUUGAUUAUCCUAAGCCAUACCAUUACCACCACCCACUCUUCAAGAAGCCGGUCGAUCCUUUCCACCACAAGCCGCUGAUUAAGCCGCUGCCCAAGAAGGUUUACCCCAAGUUCAAGUACCCUAAGUAUGGCCACUAUCACCCUGGACACCCUCCUGUCGAGAAACCCUGAUUAGUUGAUCAUCAAUCAAUCGUCAUAUUAUAUAUAUGAAUAUUGUUGGAGUGUAUGAAAUAAGUCGUUACACCGUCAUGUGUAUCAUGGUGUUUUUUUAUAUAUGUAUCAUCUUUCUAGCUGAUCGAUGCGUUUGAGAGUUGGCGUGUAGCCUGAAUACUGUGUGGCAUGUAUCAAUUUCCUGACUAUGGCAGGAUUGUAAGUUCAAUCAAAGUAUGUUUCUAUUUCCGCCACACUAUGAGUCUACUAUGCCUAGACUGUAGAGUACAUUCUUCUUGUGGGGAAUUUAAAGCCCAUAUUAUUGGAGUCCACAAUGAAAGCCCGUUGGUGACAAGUCCAUCGAGUCUUGAAAAAGUGAUGAUAGC
Molecule: long non-coding RNA, 26412 nt
Filed under: Linum usitatissimum (flax)
Lineage: Eukaryota; Viridiplantae; Streptophyta; Magnoliopsida; Malpighiales; Linaceae
Description: long non-coding RNA (LUSI_LNC007186)
Source: RNAcentral